CUGGCUCAAGGCCUGGAAAGCAGACUCCAUCUCUGAUUGCACCUGCCCCAGGAGGAGAGGGAGAAACGCUUUACUGACAAAAGGUGUCUUGUGAAAUUCUCAUGUGGAUCUGUGUGCUCACAGUAAACUUUGGACCCUUUCUUACUUCAUGAGUGUUUCAGGCUGAGAGCCAGCUUGAGAAGCCGAUGGUGCCUGUAAGAGAGGUUCCCG
This is a non-coding RNA of Miniopterus natalensis, 210 nucleotides long. The record is from RefSeq and is a predicted model, not a curated record. NCBI's taxonomy places the organism in Eukaryota, Metazoa, Chordata, Mammalia, Chiroptera, Miniopteridae.